ACGCUGGCGGCAGGCCUAACACAUGCAAGUCGAGCGGUAGAGAGAAGCUUGCUUCUCUUGAGAGCGGCGGACGGGUGAGUAAUGCCUAGGAAUCUGCCUGGUAGUGGGGGAUAACGUUCGGAAACGGACGCUAAUACCGCACACGUCCUACGGGAGAAAGCAGGGGACCUUCGGGCCUUGCGCUAUCAGAUGAGCCUAGGUCGGAUUAGCUAGUUGGUGAGGUAAUGGCUCACCAAGGCGACGAUCCGUAACUGGUCUGAGAGGAUGAUCAGUCACACUGGAACUGAGACACGGUCCAGACUCCUACGGGAGGCAGCAGUGGGGAAUAUUGGACAAUGGGCGAAAGCCUGAUCCAGCCAUGCCGCGUGUGUGAAGAAGGUCUUCGGAUUGUAAAGCACUUUAAGUUGGGAGGAAGGGUUGUAGAUUAAUACUCUGCAAUUUUGACGUUACCGACAGAAUAAGCACCGGCUAACUCUGUGCCAGCAGCCGCGGUAAUACAGAGGGUGCAAGCGUUAAUCGGAAUUACUGGGCGUAAAGCGCGCGUAGGUGGUUUGUUAAGUUGGAUGUGAAAUCCCCGGGCUCAACCUGGGAACUGCAUUCAAAACUGACUGACUAGAGUAUGGUAGAGGGUGGUGGAAUUUCCUGUGUAGCGGUGAAAUGCGUAGAUAUAGGAAGGAACACCAGUGGCGAAGGCGACCACCUGGACUAAUACUGACACUGAGGUGCGAAAGCG
Molecule: ribosomal RNA, 733 nt
Filed under: uncultured bacterium
Lineage: Bacteria
Description: bacterial SSU rRNA
Rfam family: Bacterial small subunit ribosomal RNA
Source: RNAcentral